This 5002-nucleotide long non-coding RNA is filed under the name Gossypium barbadense (sea-island cotton). RNAcentral describes it as "long non-coding RNA (GBAR_LNC019426)". Lineage: Eukaryota; Viridiplantae; Streptophyta; Magnoliopsida; Malvales; Malvaceae. The record is from RNAcentral.
GGAAGAUGUUGGAAACGUGAUGGGCCGAAAAUUUACUUUUUAUUACACACUCAAUAUAUUACAAUACGAAGAUUACAAAUAUUUUCUCAAUGACUAGAUAGUCUAGCUGCUGCUAGAUUUUAACUCACUCAAGGUUUGCUAACCUUCUCACUCUCACUCACGUUGCUUCUCUUAUUUCUUUUUUCUUCUCAUUUUUAUUCCUUUACAACACAAGUUCAAGCCUCUAUUUAUAGGCUGAUAAAGUGACAACAAAUGUGGCUAUUAAUCCACUUAAUUUCCAGCCACAAAACAUCUCAAUAAUGGAGCACUUUGUAUGGCUAAAAUUUCAGCACUUUGCAUGGCACAAAAUUGCUCCACGUCUCAUGCUUCUAGAUUAUGCUUGGAGUGGGUUUGAUUUCUAACACUCCCCCUCAAACCCAACUUUCAUACCGAGCUUCUCUUUGAAUUUGUUGAAUGUCUCCACUUUCAACGGCUUUGUGAAAAUAUCUGCCAGUUGAUCUUCUGUCCUGCAAUGGACCAACUCCACGUUUUUGUUUUUCACUUGCUCUCGGAUAAAAUGAUACUUCGUAUCGAUGUGCUUGCUUCGGCUGUGCGACACCGGAUUCUUGGCAAGUGAUAUAGCGAAUUUGUUGUCAACUUAGAUGGUAAUUGGACCUUCAUUUGAAACACCUAUUUCUCCCAAAAUAUUCUUCAACCACAUUGCUUGGCAUGUACAAGUUGCUGCGGCCAUAUACUCUGCUUCACAUGUUGAGAGAGCAAUUGUUUGUUGCUUCUUUGACGACCAUGAAAAAACUGCGGAACUGAUGUGGAAUGCAUAUCCGGAAGUGCUUUUCCGAUCAUCCAAGUCUCCCCCAUAAUCGCUAUCUGAGUAGCCAACUAAUUUUGAAUCUUGUGAGUGGGUAUAGAAUAAACCAUGGUUCAUCGUACCUUUGAUAUAUCUCAAAAUUCUUUUUGCGGCAAUUAAGUGGUCUUGCUUCGGCUUCUCCAUGAAUCUGCUCACCAAUCCUACUGCAUAUGUAAUAUCUGGUCGUGUGAUUGUCAAAUACCUUAAACUUCCAACGAGACUUUUAAACAACGUCGGAUUUAUCGACUCCCUUGUCGAAUCAACACUUAGCUUCAUCCCUGGAUCAACUGGCGUGACUACUGGCUUGCAAUCCUUCAUUUUGAACUUGUUCAAAAUCUGCUCCGCAUACUUCUUUUGAGAGACAAAAAUUCCAUCUUGCAUUUGUUUCACCUCGACUCCAAGAAAGUAUGACAUCUCACCGAUAUCUGUCAUUUCAAAUUCUUUAGUCAUAGCUUUCUUGAAAUCAUCAGACAUACCUGGAUUGUUUCCGGUGAAGAUCAUGUCAUCCACAUAUAGGCAUACGAUCAUGAUAUCUCCAUAUCCAUUCUUCUUUGUGUACAGGGUGUGCUCGUGCGGGCUUUUGAUGAAUCCAUUUCUUCGGAAGUACUCGUCGAUCCUUGUGUUCCAUGCUCUUGGGGCUUGUUUCAAUCCAUACAAAGCUUUCUUCAAUCGGUAGACUUUGUCCUCCUUUCCUUGUAUGCUAUAUCCAGGUGGUUGUUCUAUGUAGACUUCCUCCUCCAAGUAGCCAUUCAGGAAUGCAGACUUGACGUCCAUCUGAUAGAUUUUCCAUUUGUAUUGUGCUGCGACCGCUAUGAGAAGCCUAAUUGUGUCUAUUCUUGCGACUGGAGCAAAUAUUUCAUCAUAGUCCACUCCUUGUCUUUGCUUGUAGCCUUUGGCGACUAGCCUUGCCUUGUAUUUCUCUACUUUUCCUUCUUUGUUGGUCUUCGUCUUGUACACCCACUUGACACCAAUCGGGCUAUGUCCUUCUGGCAGACUUGUUAGCUCCCACGUGUCAUUCCUUCUUAUUGCAGCAAUCUCCUCGUCCAUGGCCUUCUUCCAUUUAUUGUUUUCAAUUGCUUCUUCGUAUGUCACUGGAUCACAUUCUGUCAUUAGACAGAAUAGUGAAUAAUCGAACUGCGUCUCUACAGGUUCCGUAGAAUUGUAGAUGUCGUUGAGACUCCGUGUUCUUGUGGGUGCUUCAUCUGAGCUGCUGCUUCCGCUGCUGCUGGUUGGUGACGAAGGGGCUGUUGUACCAGGACUUUGAUCAUCGCCUUGUUCUUCUUGGUUAUUGUCGUCUUCGUUGAAAAAUAAUCCUUCCACUUUCUUUUCUUCUUCACUCCAUCUCCAGUAAUCCGCUUCAUCGAACUCGACAUCUCUUGAGAUAAUCAAUUUCUUAGUAAGAGGAUUAUAAAGUCUGUAGGCCUUACGUCUUUUGUCAUAGCCUAUAAAGAUACACUUCUCUCCUCUAUCGUCAAGCUUUUUCCUCUGUUGCUCAGGAACGUGUGCAUAUGCAAUGCAUCCAAAAAUUUUGAGGUGUCCAACUCUUGGCUUGUGACCGCUCCAUGCUUCUUCUGGUGUCUUGUGUCUUACACUUUUUGUUGGACAUUGAUUCAACAGAUAAACUGCGCAUUCAACGGCUUCAGCCCAGAAAGUUCUCGGAAGGUGUUUACCUUUUAUCAUGCUUCUUGCCAUAUCCAGAAUUGUCCGAUUCUUCCUUUCUGCAACUCCGUUUUGUUGUGGAGUGCGUCUGGCUGUUAACUGAUGAAUGAUUCCAUGAUCCUUGCAGAAACUUUCAUAAAGCUUUGCAGUAUACUCACCUCCUCUAUCGGAUCUGAGUAUCUUCAAAUAUCGACCACUCUGUUUUUCCACCAUUGCUUUGAACUCCUUGAAUUUUUCUAGGGCUUCCGAUUUUGCUUUGAGAAAAUAAACCCAACAUUUUCUGCUAUAAUCAUCAAUAAAAGUUAGGUAGUACCUGUUUCCACCGAGUGAUUCAAUGUCGUACGGACCAGAUAUGUCGGUGUGUACAAUUUCCAAUGGUCUUCUAGCUCUUCGAGAUUUUCCUACUUCAAAUUUCUGCCUAUGCUGCUUUCCUUUGACACAGGCUUCACACAGUUGAUCUGGAUGAUUAAUACUUGGUAAUCCAUUCACCAUAUUUGUCUUCGACAACAGCUUCAAGCCAGAAAAUCUGAGAUGUCCGUACCUUAAGUGCCACAACCAUGAUUCAUUCUUCAGAUCCGUCUUCAUGCAUUUUACUUCUCCAGACUCGAUGUCGAGGGUGAAAAAACGAUUUCGCGUCAUAUCAACUUGAACAACUAAUUCUCCACUUUUGUUCCUGAUGGCGAGUGAGCGGUCUUUCAUAUGAACUUCAUAUCCUUUUUCUAGGAGUUGACCAAGACUGAUCAGGUUGCUCUUCAAAGCUGGUACGUAGUAAACGUCUGAGAUGUACUUCUUCUCUCCAUUCCUUUGUGUUAUAACAACCUUGCCCUUUCCUUUGAUUUCUGCAUGUGAGUUGUCUCCAAAAGUUAUUUGUCCAUGAACUGUUUCAUCUAAUUCUGUGAACAGCUCCUUUCUUCCACACAUGUGGUUGCUUGCACCGUUGUCGAGAUACCACACACUUCUCUUGCGAUCUUCAUUUUCUCCGUAAGUGAGAAAGACACUUGAUUCCACUUUUUCGUUGCCUUCUGCUGCGACUGCUACAUGGUUUCUUUCAUCCACUUUGUGUGUUGAUCUGCACUCGUAACUGAAAUGUCCAUACUUGUUACAGUUGUAGCAUUGUACCUGAGAUUUAUUUUCUUGAAAUCUGCCUCGGCCACGACCUCUAGAUCCACGUCCACGGUUGGAUGUUUGAUAAUCUUUAUUUUCUUGAUAUCUCCCAUAUGAUUGAUUUCCACGUCCUCGUGAUCCUCUUCCUCCUCUGUUUCCACCACGGUAGCCUCCACGGUAUCCUCUGCGGUUUCCUCUUCCUUGGUUAAAGUUAUUACUUGUUUCUCCGUCGUCGACGGACAACUUGCUAUGCAAGGCUUGAUCAAGAUUUUCACUAUCUUCAUUUAGCUUCAUCUUUUGCUCAUGGGCUUGCAGAGAACCCACAAGUUCUUCGAGCGACAUCUUUGACAAAUCUUUUGAUUCUUCGAUGGCAACGACUACGUACUCGAAUUUGCGUGUGAGUGACCGUAGAAUUUUCUCCAUCACUCUUACCUCGUCAAGAGUUUCUCCAUUUCGUUUCAUUUCAUUUACCACCGAUUUUACACGAUUGGCAUAGUCAUCGAUAUUCUCGGAGCUCUUCAUUUUUAACAUUUCAAAUUCAGCUCUAAGUGACUGAAGGCGUACCUUUUUAGCUUUUUCUACACCUUGAAAUGAUUUUUGCAAAAUCUCCCAUGCAUUCUUCGCGUUCUUCACAUCUGAUAUUUUCUCGAAGGUUGAUUCAUCCAUUCCUUGAAAGAUACUAUUCAAGGCCUUUUGAUCCUUCUUUCGUGCUUCUCGUAACGCCUUAUUAGCGUCAUUUGAUAAAGCUGCUUCUGUAGCGGCAUCUCCGGGCUCGAUGUAUCCUUUUUCAACGAUCUCCCAACAAUCUUGCGAACCGAGCAAAGCCUUCAUUCGAAUGCUCCAAUUUCCAUAAUUUGUCUUCGUCAAUUGUGGAACUUGUAGCUGAAUUACGUCGCCCAUAUCGACUUGUUAGAUGAACACCAAAGGUACUCCGAACUGGACACGAACCGGACACGAACCGAACUCCGAACCAAGCUCCGAACCGUAGCUCUGAUGCCACUUGUUGGAAACGUGAUGGGCCGAAAAUUUACUUUUUAUUACACACUCAAUAUAUUACAAUACGAAGAUUACAAAUAUUUUCUCAAUGACUAGAUAGUCUAGCUGCUGCUAGAUUUUAACUCACUCAAGGUUUGCUAACCUUCUCACUCUCACUCACGUUGCUUCUCUUAUUUCUUUUUUCUUCUCAUUUUUAUUCCUUUACAACACAAGUUCAAGCCUCUAUUUAUAGGCUGAUAAAGUGACAACAAAUGUGGCUAUUAAUCCACUUAAUUUCCAGCCACAAAACAUCUCAAUAAUGGAGCACUUUGUAUGGCUAAAAUUUCAGCACUUUGCAUGGCACAAAAUUGCUCCACGUCUCAUGCUUCUAGAUUAUGCUUGGAGUGGGUUUGAUUUCUA